This 484-nucleotide ribosomal RNA is filed under the name uncultured bacterium. Its description in RNAcentral is "partial 16S ribosomal RNA". It matches the Rfam family "Bacterial small subunit ribosomal RNA", at positions 30 to 507 of the family's 1533-position model. The record is from RNAcentral.
AUUGAACGCUGGCGGCAGGCCUAACACAUGCAAGUCGAGCGGAUGAAGGGAGCUUGCUCCUGGAUUCAGCGGCGGACGGGUGAGUAAUGCCUAGGAAUCUGCCUGGUAGUGGGGGAUAACGUCCGGAAACGGGCGCUAAUACCGCAUACGUCCUGAGGGAGAAAGUGGGGGAUCUUCGGACCUCACGCUAUCAGAUGAGCCUAGGUCUGAUUAGCUAGUUGGUGGGGUAAAGGCCUACCAAGGCGACGAUCCGUAACUGGUCUGAGAGGAUGAUCAGUCACACUGGAACUGAGAAAAGGUCCAGACUACUGCGGGAGGCAACAGUGGGGAAUAUUGGACAAUGGGCGAAAGCCUGAUCCAGCCAUGCCGCGUGUGUGAAGAAGGUCUUCGGAUUGUAAAGCACUUUAAGUUGGGAGGAAGGGCAGUAAGUUAAUACCUUGCUGUUUUGACGUUACCAACAGAAUAAGCACCGGCUAACUUCGUG